Long non-coding RNA from Drosophila simulans, 635 nucleotides. RefSeq lists it as uncharacterized. The transcript is spliced from 2 exons. The record is from RefSeq and is a predicted model, not a curated record. NCBI's taxonomy places the organism in Eukaryota, Metazoa, Arthropoda, Insecta, Diptera, Drosophilidae.
UGACUGUUAGAUAAGUUUAUUAAGCGUGCGGGCCCGAAACUCAAACUGAAACCGAAUGCGAAUGCGAGUGCCAUAAAGAAACGGCCAUCCCCAUACAGCAGACUAUCCAGAUAAGCGGAAAGCUAGAAAUACGUAACACUGUUAAAGUUCAGGGUUCCCGGCGGGCUAUAGAAGCACUAGAGCUGGUGGCACUUCCAAUCUUUGACUGGCGGCGGCUAUCGUCCAUCGGGCGAUGAGUUAUGCAACUUUAUGACGGUCCUCAAGUGGCCAAAACCCAAACAGAAGAAACUUAAUGCGAAAAAGAACGAAAUCCACUCGAUCAAGCGAUCAAGAUAAUCAUUUGUCGAAAAUGGCACCUAAUAUUUCGAUGACCCCCAUUAGGGUGCUGAUAACGAUUCCAGAACAUUACGUGGAGUUCACUGGAACUCAGACUACAAAUCUGCAAGCAAGAUGUGAAAGCCAGUUAAUAAUUACAAUUAAAAUGGCACGUUUUCUAACUAUAAACAAAGCUGCUUCUGUUAAUUGUCCUAUUGAAUGAAACCAUAAAAACGUAGCAAUAACUAAUUAUACGGUAAGGUACAAAGAUAAAUAAUUGUAAAUAUAAAUACCAGUUAAAUAAAGAUAACGAAACAAUA